RNAcentral lists this unclassified non-coding RNA (334 nucleotides) under Hevea brasiliensis (rubber tree). The record is from RNAcentral. Lineage: Eukaryota; Viridiplantae; Streptophyta; Magnoliopsida; Malpighiales; Euphorbiaceae.
GUUUUCUCCAAGGAAAAAAAAGAUUACACGGAAUAUUCAUUAACACAAGCAAAUUGAGGAGAGAAAAAAACACUAAAAUUCACCUUUGGAGGAAAGUGAUGGCAAAAUGCAGGAAGGAAAAGUGGAAACACAGAGAACAAUACAGAUACGCAAAAGAGAAUCAUCAAGUUCUAUUGAAUCUCUCCAACUCAUCGAUUUUCAGACCUAAUUAUUAAUUCUGUUGCUAUCUUUCGAAUUACUUUUAAGCUAGAUUUGUUAUUUCAUUCCACCGCCAUUAAAACGCGAGAUCGUUCCUGUUCUGAUUAAGUCCAUGAAUAAUCAAAGUUAAAAUCCA